This 493-nucleotide ribosomal RNA is filed under the name uncultured bacterium. RNAcentral describes it as "bacterial SSU rRNA". It matches the Rfam family "Bacterial small subunit ribosomal RNA", at positions 29 to 509 of the family's 1533-position model. The record is from RNAcentral.
AGUGAACGCUGGCGGCAGGCCUAAUACAUGCAAGUCGAACGGCAGCACAGCAGAGCUUGCUCUGUGGGUGGCGAGUGGCGGACGGGUGAGGAAUACAUGGGAAUCUGCCCAGUCGUGGGGGAUAACGUAUGGAAACGUACGCUAAUACCGCAUGCGCCCUAAGGGGGAAAGCCGGGGACCGCAAGGCCUGGCGCGAUUGGAUGAGCCCAUGUUCGAUUAGCUAGUUGGCGGGGUAAAGGCCCACCAAGGCGACGAUCGAUAGCUGGUCUGAGAGGAUGAUCAGCCACACUGGAACUGAGACACGGUCCAGACUCCUACGGGAGGCAGCAGUAGGGAAUAUUGGACAAUGGGGGCGAACCCUGAUCCAGCCAUGCCGCGUGAGUGAAGAAGGCCCUCGGGUUGUAAAGCUCUUUUGUCCGGAAAGAAAAGCAAUCGGUUAAUACCCGGUUGUCCUGACGGUACCGGAAGAAUAAGCACCGGCUAACUUCGUGCC